RNAcentral lists this ribosomal RNA (1372 nucleotides) under uncultured bacterium. Its description in RNAcentral is "bacterial SSU rRNA". It matches the Rfam family "Bacterial small subunit ribosomal RNA", at positions 28 to 1381 of the family's 1533-position model. The record is from RNAcentral.
GAUGAACGCUGGCGGCGUGCCUAAUACAUGCAAGUCGAGCGAACGGACGAGAAGCUUGCUUUUCUGAUGUUAGCGGCGGACGGGUGAGUAACACGUGGAUAACCUACCUAUAAGACUGGGAUAACUUCGGGAAACCGGAGCUAAUACCGGAUAAUAUUUUGAACCGCAUGGUUCAAAAGUGAAAGACGGUCUUGCUGUCACUUAUAGAUGGAUCCGCGCUGCAUUAGCUGGUUGGUAAGGUAACGGCUUACCAAGGCAACGAUGCAUAGCCGACCUGAGAGGGUGAUCGGCCACACUGGAACUGAGACACGGUCCAGACUCCUACGGGAGGCAGCAGUAGGGAAUCUUCCGCAAUGGGCGAAAGCCUGACGGAGCAACGCCGCGUGAGUGAUGAAGGUCUUCGGAUCGUAAAACUCUGUUAUUAGGGAAGAACAUAUGUGUAAGUAACUGUGCACAUCUUGACGGUACCUAAUCAGAAAGCCACGGCUAACUACGUGCCAGCAGCCGCGGUAAUACGUAGGUGGCAAGCGUUAUCCGGAAUUAUUGGGCGUAAAGCGCGCGUAGGCGGUUUUUUAAGUCUGAUGUGAAAGCCCACGGCUCAACCGUGGAGGGUCAUUGGAAACUGGAAAACUUGAGUGCAGAAGAGGAAAGUGGAAUUCCAUGUGUAGCGGUGAAAUGCGCAGAGAUGUGGAGGAACACCAGUGGCGAAGGCGACUUUCUGGUCUGUAACUGACGCUGAUGUGCGAAAGCGUGGGGAUCAAACAGGAUUAGAUACCCUGGUAGUCCACGCCGUAAACGAUGAGUGCUAAGUGUUAGGGGGUUUCCGCCCCUUAGUGCUGCAGCUAACGCAUUAAGCACUCCGCCUGGGGAGUACGACCGCAAGGUUGAAACUCAAAGGAAUUGACGGGGGCCCGCACAAGCGGUGGAGCAUGUGGUUUAAUUCGAAGCAACGCGAAGAACCUUACCAAAUCUUGACAUCCUUUGACAACUCUAGAGAUAGAGCCUUCCCCUUCGGGGGACAAAGUGACAGGUGGUGCAUGGUUGUCGUCAGCUCGUGUCGUGAGAUGUUGGGUUAAGUCCCGCAACGAGCGCAACCCUUAAGCUUAGUUGCCAUCAUUAAGUUGGGCACUCUAAGUUGACUGCCGGUGACAAACCGGAGGAAGGUGGGGAUGACGUCAAAUCAUCAUGCCCCUUAUGAUUUGGGCUACACACGUGCUACAAUGGACAAUACAAAGGGCAGCGAAACCGCGAGGUCAAGCAAAUCCCAUAAAGUUGUUCUCAGUUCGGAUUGUAGUCUGCAACUCGACUACAUGAAGCUGGAAUCGCUAGUAAUCGUAGAUCAGCAUGCUACGGUGGAUACGUUCCCGGGUCU